This is a long non-coding RNA of Felis catus (domestic cat), 3779 nucleotides long. RefSeq lists it as uncharacterized. The transcript has 2 exons. The record is from RefSeq and is a predicted model, not a curated record. NCBI's taxonomy places the organism in Eukaryota, Metazoa, Chordata, Mammalia, Carnivora, Felidae.
GGACAGGCACACUUUUGUCAGAGCAGUGGUUCUCAACUGGGGCAACGAACUGAUCUGAACCACGUGCCCAGGUCCAACCCCAGACUGAAGGAAGCCCACAUUUCCACGGAGGCCCCCGGGCAGCUACAGCAGGGCAUGGACACUCCUCACCAAACACCGUGGCCUUGCUGACAGAUGUAGGGACGGUUGCUCAGUCUACUCGUAAUUAAGGAAAUGUGAACCAAAGUCUGAAACUGGUGAAAAUACUUGAUAUUUUUGCUGAUAUGCUUGCUGUUGGUCAGAGAAUAAACUGGCAUAGCCUCUUCGGAGGGCAGCUUGUCGAUACGGACCACAAUUUAAAACCACACACCUGUUGCCCAGCAUCCGGUUUCUAGGACAUACACUUGCAUGUGUGUGCAAAACAGACACCCAAGGAUGAUCACUUCAAGUGCUAAUUAUAAUGGGAAAACAUAGGAAACACUGUAACUGCAUACCAGUUGAAGACUGGUUAAAUAAUAUUAUAAGAAUGGGAUACUAUUCACUCAUAAAAAGGAAUUAAGCAGGCCUUUAUAAAUGACACACUACGGAAAAGAAAGCAAGAGGCAGAAUAAUGUGUAUAAUCUCAUUUAUAUUUUAAAAAUGUAUUCAUAUAUACUUGUGAAUGCACCUAAAAUUUCUGGAAGGAAAUACAAGAAAACUGUUAUCAAUGGUUCUGUCUAGGGAGCAGUACUGGACAGCUGGACAUUUAAAGAGGAGAGAGACUUAUUACUGUACCAUUUGACUUUUCUACCAUAUACACAUAGGACUUAUCCUGAUGGCCGUGAAACCAUGCUGAUGGACUCUCCCGCUGGGAUGGAGCAUAACUGAUGAAUGACCCCAGCUGCCAGCCCUCUGGAUGCACCAUCCAGGUGGAUGCCACACUUUCCACAGACUGUCCCCAGCCAGUGACUGAGUGAAACGCAGGCUUCCUCUAACAGGCAACUUUGCCUUGAAGACUCCUGAUCAGCCUGGCCGAAACUUCCGUGGGACUGCAGUCCAUGACCUCCUACCCAAACCUCCCUCUCAGGGGGUAGAUUCGGAUCACUGUCUGAAGGCUCUCCCUGACUUCUCCAGUUCCCCUCCCUUUUAUGCUUCACAGGCACUGCCUCAAAUUCAUUUCUUGCCUGUCUCACCUCAUCCUGGUGUCUGCUUCUUGGAAGAUCUGAACUAAUACAUUUAUUGAAUAAAAAACAAAAACAAAACAGCUGUUUUUAGAUAUUCCAGGAAUAAGGUGGUAGCAGCUGCCCAGUUCCAAAGCCCAAGCUCUUGUCCACAGACUGCCACCGAUCCCUGACUCCCAAGCUCAACCAGGAAAGCAAGGACCAUCUCAGGGGUCUCUUCAUGUGGGCAGUGACCAGGUAACUCCCCCUAAAUGUUAGGUCUGCCCGCUCUGUCCCUUGCAUUCUAACCUCCAGCCCCACCCAGCUGCUUUCACUCCCUUCCAAAGCUGGGUUUUCUUGUCUUGUUCACAUCCUGUUUUCUGUGAUCAGCAUGCUCUUCCUCCAGUUCUUCACCUAAUACUCAUUCAUCCUUAAGUCCCACUUAAAUGCCACUUCAUUCACUCAACAAAUAGUGAGUACUUCCUAUGUACCAGGCUCUCCUCUGGGCACUGGAGAUACACUAGUGAACAAGCAAAAAAAAAAAAAAAAAAAAAAAAAAAAAAAAUGUGCCUUUGUUGAACUUAGAUUCUAGCGGGAGAGGCAGGCUAUAAGUGAAAUAAACUGUGUAAUCUACCAGACAAAAGUGUUAUGAUGAGAAGUAAAGCAGGGAAGGGGCUUGGAAGUACCUGGGAAUUGGGGCUGCAAUUUUAAAUAGGAUGGUCAGAGAAGUCCUCACCUAAAUGACAUUUGAGCAAAACGAAGCAGAUGAGGGAACAAGCCACGUAGGUAUCUGGAGAAUAAGGGCAAAGCCACAGGCAGGAACACACCUGGCUUUUGCGAAGAACAGACAGGAGGCCAGUCUGGCUAGAGCCAAACGAGCCAGGUGGAGAAUAUUAGCAGAUGAAUUUAUAGAGGUACUAAGGGCCCCAUAGGUAUAGGGCUUUGAGGGCCAGUAAGAACUUUGACUGUUAUUGAGUGUGGUGGAGGCUAUCUGAGUGGAGUGAUGUGAUCUGAUUUAUAUUUUAAAGGAUCACCCGGCUGUCUCCCAAAUGGAUUGUAAGGGGAUAAGGACACAAGCAAAGAAAGAGACCAUUCAGAGGCUACAGAAGUAACCCAGGGAAGAGACGAUGGUGCUUGAAGCAGGAAGACUUCUUCAACUCCAGGCCAGGGCUGGGAAGCAGACUCAGAGAAGAAGAAGAAAUUGCCCAUGUUUACAUGAUGAAUCCAUGGUUGAGCUGAGAUUUGAACUUCUGUCUUUGACUUUUCUGCACUGGACACUCAGAAGUAACACACACUGAACAACCCUCCAAAAGAUCCAUUUGCUCAUGGGUAAAAUGGGGGGCAGGUGGUUCCCAUUGUCCAGAGGGUCCUUAGAAGGAUUCAGUAGAAUGGCAUGUGCAGAGUUCUGGUACAUUGGAUCAUGACACAUCUGUUAACUUGUGAUGACCACCCCACUCGAGAGCAGAAAGAUCACCAGAGGGAGGGCAGCUUGCUCUGCAUUUUGGUUUGGAGGACUGCAAACAUCCUGCCCUCCAAGCUUCAUCCAGUCUCCGGAGAAAGAAAUCUGGGCAUUGGGUAUGUGCUAAAGGCGGCCAGAAAUGCCUGAGCUGUCACUGUUCUCAGAGCAUGUGAUUCUGAGCUCAGACAAUCUCCUAGAACCAGUUUUAGUAUUGAUUGUAAGCCAUAAGCCAUCGAGGCUACCAAAUGGACUUAGAAACCAACCUGAUGAUAGUACAAUUUCAGCUGCAACAAAGCUAAUAAUUGCAAUUGAUUGAAAUGCAUCAAACACGUUCCAAUAAGUUCAUAUGACAUUCAGCCAACACACUAACUGAUCGUCUUCUGAGGAUGGCAUAGAAACAAAUUAUAUUCUUGGAAACUAUGUAAAUAAAAGAAAAGAGUCAAGUAUUUGUCCCACCUUUCCAAUUUGGAACUGUACCACUGAGUGACCAAAUAAUAGAUUAAGAAAACCAUUUUCUUAUAAAACUACUACAAUUGAUGCAGGAAGGCAAAAUAAUACAAUGUUGCUAUUUUGCCAGCUGCCAUGAAUUAAAUGUAUGUAGCUGUUGUACCCAGUAGCCGGUAAUAUCAAAAAAGAGCAAAUUCCAGCCACGUAUGUGCUUCUUGAUAAAAGAAGGACUACCUAUAAUCACACCAGAGGGAUGGAAACUGGGUCUGACUCAGCUGCUAAUAUACAAGUAAUGCAGAGGUCAAAGGGCCAUGUUGAACUGUAUACUGUGAGGAUAUGAGAGACAAAAUCCAGACUUUGAGGAACUCUAUGGGUCAAGCAGCGUAACAGAUAAAUUUCAAGGAAAAGAAAGAGAUAUAAGGGGAAUCUAUGGCUUAAAACACAUGCUUAGUUUCUUCUAAUGGGCGAAACUGAACUACAGUAUCUUAGGGAUGCACACUCAAAUGAUUAAGCAAGGAAAUAAUUACUCUAAAAGUCAGGCUACUAAUUACUUUUGUGGGGGGAGGGCUAUGAUUGAGAUGGGGUACAUGGAGGGGCUCCUGGGGUCACUGGCAAAGUUUUAUUUCUUGACCUGGGUGUUGGUUAUGAGGGCGUUUGCCCCUGAAAUAAUCACUAAGCUACAAAUUUAAUUUGUAUGAUUUUCCGCAUCUGUGAUUUGUUUCAUAACAUAAAGUUUUUAAAAGAUGAAAACAGAA